RNAcentral lists this ribosomal RNA (433 nucleotides) under uncultured bacterium. Its description in RNAcentral is "partial 16S ribosomal RNA". It matches the Rfam family "Bacterial small subunit ribosomal RNA", at positions 29 to 507 of the family's 1533-position model. The record is from RNAcentral.
AACGAACGCUGGCGGCAUGCCUAACACAUGCAAGUCGAACGAGACCUUCGGGUCUAGUGGCGCACGGGUGCGUAACGCGUGGGAACCUGCCCUUAGGUUCGGAAUAACUCCCCGAAAGGGGUGCUAAUACCGGAUAAUGUCUUCGGACCAAAGAUUUAUCGCCUUUGGAUGGGCCCGCGUUGGAUUAGCUAGUUGGUAGGGUAAAAGCCUACCAAGGCGACGAUCCAUAGCUGGUCUGAGAGGAUGAUCAGCCACACUGGGACUGAGACACGGCCCAGACUCCGACGGGAGGCAGCAGUGGGGAAUAUUGGACAAUGGGCGAAAGCCUGAUCCAGCAAUGCCGCGUGAGUGAUGAUGGCCUUAGGGUUGUAAAGCUCUUUUACCCGGGAUGAUAAUGACAGUACCGGGAGAAUAAGCUCCGGCUAACUCCGUG